Sander lucioperca (pikeperch) is the source of this 385-nucleotide long non-coding RNA. RefSeq lists it as uncharacterized. The transcript has 2 exons. The record is from RefSeq and is a predicted model, not a curated record. NCBI's taxonomy places the organism in Eukaryota, Metazoa, Chordata, Actinopteri, Perciformes, Percidae.
ACACCUUUAAAAACUAUACAAAAUAUGAGUUGGAGUGGUUUAUGUGUAACUGUGUGUGUGUGUGUGUGUGUGUGUGUGUGUGUGUGUGUGUUGAGUGGUAAAAUGGGGGUUGGCAACCAAAUAAAGUGCUUUAAGUCAUUCAUGUUGAGUAGUUGGGUCCGUGCAGCAAUAUCCUCAGUCUGCUGCUAAAUUAAUACAUGUUGGAGAGACUUGUCCCGAAUCAGACUCAAAUGUUCCGUCUCCAUCAUCUUUAGCACUAUGAUGUUAGUCCCCAUUCUGCAUCCCUCUCUGUUCCUACCGACAUCAUCAAAUCCCUGUCUCCUUCUUGACCCAGUCUACUAGCUUGGUGACGCGCGAGUAGACACCAGGCUUGUUCCGACGAGCG